UUCGAAAGCUUCAUUUGGUAAUUAAAGAUUCGUCAGGUGCAGAUGACGUCAGAUAAGAUUAGGUAGUUGGUGAGGUAUCGGCCCACCAAGCAUGCGAUCAUUAUCUGAUAUGAGAGCCAGACCCGUCACGCGUGCGACGCGACACAG
This 147-nucleotide ribosomal RNA is filed under the name uncultured bacterium. RNAcentral describes it as "partial 16S ribosomal RNA". The record is from RNAcentral.